RNAcentral lists this ribosomal RNA (233 nucleotides) under uncultured eukaryote. RNAcentral describes it as "partial 18S ribosomal RNA". It matches the Rfam family "Eukaryotic small subunit ribosomal RNA", at positions 1299 to 1458 of the family's 1831-position model. The record is from RNAcentral.
UGGUGGAGCGAUUUGUCUGGUUAAUUCCGAUAACGAACGAGACUCAAGCCUGCUAAACAGUGUGGAACGUGGGCGUCGUCCCUACGCUGAAGGACCUUGAGCGCUUCCGGGAAGACUUCAGGGACAGGCGUAAACUACUAUGUUACUAUGUAAUGUAAUGUAGUUGGAUCGUCGCGGGCAAAACUUCUUAGAGGGACCGGUGGUUUUAAGCCACACGAGAUUGAGCAAUAACA